CUGCUCCCUCUCUCUGUUUCUCUCUCUCUCUCUCUCUCUCGCGCGCGCCUUAGAGCUCUCUUCGUCCCUGCCCUGUCUAAGCUGUCCCGGACAUCAUCUUUUGAGAUUCCAUGUGGCAGAACUAAGAACCCAAACGUAGGCAGUCGCAGUUGGAGGAAUGUCUUGUGGAUGAUGCUGAUGGCUGCCUUGUUCUGUGAUGUCAACCUGGGCCGUGGUCUUCGCAAGCUCCAUGACUUCCACUCAACCCGGAAUGGGAAGACAAGGUCUCAUGCGCAUGCCCAAAAUCUAUGUUCCUAUUCUUUGCAGCAUAUAUAUCUCAAAAGACUAGACAUUAAGCAAGUGAAAGUCAAGCGAAGAUUUAAGCUUCGCCAAGCUUCUUUUGGGAAGAAUGCUCAUAGUUCUGAAUUGGCAAAAGAAGAUGAUAUUUCCAUGGCAACAUUGAUAUGGAGGGCAAUCCAGUGGCCAAUUUACUCUGUUGCUCUUGUUCCUCUUUCGCGCGAUGGAAGUACAGCCUAGAAUAAUGAGAAGUCAAUGGAAGGAUGCAGGAAGAUGAAAGAACAUAAAAGGAGUACAAGUUUUGGUGUAUGGUCGCUUCUCUCUGUGGAGAUAUAUAUUCUAAAUUCUAAUGUGGAUUUCAAAAAAGAAAUCGAGUAUGUUGCUACGCAACCGCAAAUAUUACCGUCAGAGGGGUCCUUUUCUUACUAACGCUUGUAAAUACAGAGAUCUAUAAGUUCAGUUAAUUCAGUCAUUUGUAGGUCUGUCAUAAAAGUAAUUUACCAGAUAUACUGGGUUUGAGAGUGUCCUUAGGGUUAAUGGAACAAAAAAUUUAAAUGGUGUAACAUAAUUCUAGCUUAAUGAAUAUGACAGUAAUUUUAUAUGGCC
Molecule: long non-coding RNA, 882 nt
Organism: Eucalyptus grandis
Lineage: Eukaryota; Viridiplantae; Streptophyta; Magnoliopsida; Myrtales; Myrtaceae
Exons: 4
Source: RefSeq, a predicted model, not a curated record